This 72-nucleotide transfer RNA is filed under the name Heterocephalus glaber (naked mole-rat). It matches the Rfam family "tRNA". Rfam says of the family: Transfer RNA (tRNA) molecules are approximately 80 nucleotides in length. Their secondary structure includes four short double-helical elements and three loops (D, anti-codon, and T loops). Further hydrogen bonds mediate the characteristic L-shaped molecular structure. tRNAs have two regions of fundamental functional importance: the anti-codon, which is responsible for specific mRNA codon recognition, and the 3' end, to which the tRNAs corresponding amino acid is attached (by aminoacyl-tRNA synthetases). tRNAs cope with the degeneracy of the genetic code in two manners: having more than one tRNA (with a specific anti-codon) for a particular amino acid; and 'wobble' base-pairing, i.e. permitting non-standard base-pairing at the 3rd anti-codon position. Lineage: Eukaryota; Metazoa; Chordata; Mammalia; Rodentia; Bathyergidae. The record is from Rfam by way of RNAcentral.
GGGGGUAUAUCUCAAUCGUAGAGCACUUGGCCAGUACUCAGGAAGCCCUGGAUUCAAUUCCCAGCACCCCUU